GUUGGCUACCUCCCUCUCUAUUCAUCUCAUUUGAAUAGUACAUUUGAAUGUGAUUGAACAUUUAUGACCCCCUUUUUUGUGUUUCUCUUUAUGGUUUGAAUAUCUGACUGAAAUUCAGUAGGACUAUGGUCUUCUUUUAUGGCUCACAUGUCAGCUUGGGUUUUUACAGACUAGGAGAGUGGAUUAUUGCUUUAGACGGGUGUCACAACAACAGUAGGUAGGUUGACUUUCACUCAACCUUUUAAAACAAUCUUUUAGAAGGUGCUUACAUCAGCUUUUCUCUUGCCUGCUGUCUCCAUGGUAAUGACAGAACGUGAUCCAUUAGGCGCAGCAUGAACAGUUUGAGAGAGAGUGAUGCAGUUGGACAAAGAGCCCUUUGACUUGGUUUAUGUGCUUAGAUGAAGUAUGCAGAUAUCCUCAAUCUCAGUGAACUAAAAUAAACUCUAAUUGUAAACAAAGGUGAUCACUCUUUCAAAACUCAUACUAAUAUUUCAAAAAGUAUUUGUUGCAUUAUGAUCUGUCCAGUGUAUAUUAGGAGUAUUUAUUUAUGUAUGGUACCACCAGUAUUUAUUUAUUUUGCCCUUGAAGUGUUUGGCCUCUUAUCACCACCAGAGGGUGGACAUGCAUUGAUUGUAUUGUAUGACAAACUGAGAUUGAAAGUGUUGUGUACUAACACCACACUGUUGACGGAGAGUGAACAUUUAAUUUAUUAUAGUGUUGAAUAAAAGAUGACUGAUUUUUUUUAUAAAAGCUCAAGCAAUUCCUAUGGUGAUGGAUAAUGGCUUGUGUUUUAGUUGGCUAAGGAUAUCGUCAACAGACUAGACAUCAAACAUCCGUCUAGAAUGACGUCUGAUUCCUGGGCCAGACUACUAAUCUGUCAGCAUGGAGGAAACCACCAUUGUGCUGUCUAUAGGUGCUUGGUGAUGUCAUCAACCCGGGACAAGAGUCAGGGAGCACACCAAGGUGAGUGUUGAAAGAGAGGAUGUUGGGUAAGGAGAGAAAAGGGGAAGACUGUAUGGGGGAAGGAGUCUGUCAUGUAACCAGACAGAGAGUCAGGAGCUGUGUUCGAAUAAUCAUACUAACCGUACAAUUUGUGAUGUGAAUUGAGUAUAUAGUAUGCUUAUUGGUCAUAGUAUGGAUAUAAUUAGCAUGCCAAAAGUUCCCGGAUGACAUACUAAAUUCAACAAAAUAUGAAGUACACAUGCAGUGGACACUAUUUCCGUGCUUUUAGGGCCCAUAGGGUUGAGGGUUCUUCAGAAAACGGCCGUGGCUUCCUAACUUUUCAGAUUUGAAGAAAAUGGCGGAAAAUAUGCAACCGAAGUCCGACGAGAGUGCAUACAAAUUCAUUGCUAGUUGAGACAAAUGUUAAGAACAUUUUAUAAAAUUUAAUAAAGUAAGUUAUCGUUACACGUUAUGUUGGCUGACAAUUUGGUAGCUAUGCUAUCCUUACGACCGCAUAGUAUUACAGCAGUAUGUACCUGCAUGUUAGCUAGUUACCUAACGUUAGUUGGCUACUAAUACAUCGAACAUGCCAGGCAGUAUAUUAACUAUCUGCUAUCUAACUUAACUACCCAACAUUUAUUGACUUGAUUAUUUACAUCAUUCUUAGCUAAGUGGUAUAGUCAUUGUCACGUUGGUAGGAAGAGAUUUAGGAAACAGACGCAGGAAUGCGUAAUAGUUUUUUUAUUAAGCCCCAAAUUAAGACAUGCAAUGUAAAGGCACGGGACGAAGAUCAAACACAUAACAACAACACCCAAACAAAAGAUCGAGGAGUACCUCGAAAAAAUACCCGGGACGACACCCGUAAUCAUCUGCACAAUCCAUAAGGGCACGAAAGCCCAAAACACACAGCACAGGUACACACACGUACCAACAGACAUAGUAACAAUAAUCGACAGCACCAUGGUGAACAAACGGCACAUAUAUAAAAAUAAAGUCAGCAAAAAAACAAACGUCCCUUUUCAGGACCCUGUCUUUCAAAGAUAUUUUGUAAAAUUCUAAAUAACUUCACAGAUCUUCAUUGUAAAGGGUUUAAACACUGUUUCCAUUGCUCGUUCAAUAAAUUGCAAUGUCUGUACUGUGAGACGCUUAAGACAGCGUUACAGGGAGACAGGACGGACAGCUGAUCGUCCUCACAGUGGCAGGCCACGUGUAAC
Oncorhynchus masou masou (cherry salmon) is the source of this 2156-nucleotide long non-coding RNA. RefSeq lists it as uncharacterized. The record is from RefSeq and is a predicted model, not a curated record. The transcript is spliced from 3 exons. Lineage: Eukaryota; Metazoa; Chordata; Actinopteri; Salmoniformes; Salmonidae.